GAGGUUAUGGCUCAAGUGGUAGAGUGUCUGACUAGCAAGCAUAAGGCCUUGAGUUCAACACCCAGUAACAUUU
RNAcentral lists this transfer RNA (73 nucleotides) under Dipodomys ordii (Ord's kangaroo rat). It matches the Rfam family "tRNA". Rfam says of the family: Transfer RNA (tRNA) molecules are approximately 80 nucleotides in length. Their secondary structure includes four short double-helical elements and three loops (D, anti-codon, and T loops). Lineage: Eukaryota; Metazoa; Chordata; Mammalia; Rodentia; Heteromyidae. The record is from Rfam by way of RNAcentral.